This 253-nucleotide ribosomal RNA is filed under the name uncultured bacterium. RNAcentral describes it as "partial 16S ribosomal RNA". It matches the Rfam family "Bacterial small subunit ribosomal RNA", at positions 524 to 776 of the family's 1533-position model. The record is from RNAcentral.
UACGGAGGGUGCAAGCGUUGUCCGGAAUUACUGGGCGUAAAGCGUGCGCAGGCGGUUUUGUAAGUUUGUCGUGAAAUCCCCGGGCUUAACCUGGGAAUUGCGAUGAAGACUGCAAGGCUUGAAUCUGGCAGAGGGGGGUAGAAUUCCACGUGUAGCAGUGAAAUGCGUAGAGAUGUGGAGGAACACCGAUGGCGAAGGCAGCCCCCUGGGUCAAGAUUGACGCUCAUGCACGAAAGCGUGGGGAGCAAACAGG